CACCCACCCACCACUGCAGCUUGCACACACACUGCGUCGGGCACUGGCCUGCAUCAGCUCAGUUGAGAGGACGUCAGACCCAAAUCCAGAAGUUCUUCAGUUUCUGCCAAAGUGUGAGGGAGACCAACAUCUGCUCCCCUUCUCCAUUUCUCAGAAAAAGGUGCUGUCCCACAGGACUCCCCUGGAAAUGGCUGGAGGCUUUUCUUUUCUUUUCUUUCCUUUUUUUUUUUUUUUUUUUUUUUUUUGGUGAGACAGAGUCUCACUCUGUCACCCAGGCUGGAGUGCUAUGGCAUGAUCUCAGCUCACUGCAACCUCCACCUCCCGGGUUGAAGUGAUUCUCCUGCCUUGGCCUCCCGAGUAGCUGGGAUUACAGGCACGUGCCACCAUGCCCAGCUAAUUUUUGUAUUUUCGCUAGAAAUGGGGUUUCACCGUGUUAGCCAGGCUGGUCUCAAACUCCCGACCUCAGGUGAUCCACCUUCCUCGGCCUCCCAAAGUGCGGGGAUUACAGGCGUGAGCCACCACCCCCAGCCUGGUGCCUUCUACUGGUGGUCUUAUUCCCCAGCACAGCGCCUGUUGCAUGAAGGGAUGAAUUAUAGCCCCUGGGACAAGGAGGAGACUAGAGAAAUGAGAAAUGUCAGUGUUCUCUCAGCAUCUGGGAUGAUAGGGAAAUGAAGGUAGCACAGGGGUUUUUUGCUGCUUCUAGGAAUGGCAGGCUUUUCUUUCAAGAAAACCAAACUGCUUUUCCUAAGGGAGGUAGGAUGUGGGUAAGCACUUUGCCCUCUUGUCCUCACCCUGUGACACCAGGAAACAGAUCUGUCUUGACGUUGGGAACUGUCAUGGGCAUGGAAAACCCACGUUUGGUUCCUUUUUUGUUGGCAAAAGGGCUUGAUAGGGGAUUGGCAAGGGAAAGAGCCCAGCGCUGACCUCUCCUUCUUUUUUUUUUUUUUUUUUUUUGAGACAGAGUUUCGCUCUUGUUGCCCAGGCUGGAGUUCAGUGGCGCAAUCUCAGCUCACCACAACCUCCACCUCCCGGGUUCAAGCGAUUCUCCUGCCUCAGCCUCCCGAGUAGCUGGGAUUACACGCCCGGCUAAUUUUGUAUUUUUAGUAGAGAGGGAGUUUCUACUAAAACCCAGAGGACGUCAGACCCAAAUCCAGAAGUUCUUCAGUUUCUGCCAAAGUGUGAGGGAAAUCAACAUCUGCUCCCCUUCUCCAUUUCUCAGAAAAAGGUGCUGUCCCACAGGAGUCCCCUAGAAAUGGCUGGAGGCUUUUCUUUUCUUUUUUUUUUUUUUUUCUGUUUCUUUUUUUUGUGAGACAGAGUCUUGCUCUGUCCUCACCUUGGGUGAGGACAAGAGGGCAAAGUGCUUACCCACAACCUACCUCCCUUAGGAAAAGCAGUUUGGUUUUCUUGAAAGAAAAGGCUGCCAUUCCUAGAAGAAGCAAAACCCCCUGUGCUACCUUCAUUUCCCUAUCAUCCCAGAUGCUGAGAGAACACUGACGCUUCUUAUUUCUCUAGUCUCCUUCUUGUCCCAGGGGCUAGAAUUUAUCCCUUCAUGCAUCCUGGUGAGCCACUGCGCCCAGCCUGACCUCUCCUUUAGAAGAGAGUGGUAACUAGAUGAGGGAGGGAAAGUUGGGAAAGACCUAGCUCUGUUCGUGCCAGGCCAGCAACUGCAGAGAGGGGUUUUGGGGUGAGAAGGCUGUCCUUGAUGACGAAGGGAUGCCUUGACACCUGUUUUGAUGGGGUGGGGGGUUCUCCGCAACCCCUAUUUUGCCUCUAAAUUUUUUAAGAAGGAUACUGGGUGUUCACCAGUGUGUUUUUAUUCUUUUUUAAAUGGAAUUCAUUAAUUUGACCACAGGGGAAGGGUUGAUGCUGUGUACAAGUAUAUCUUGCACAGAGGAAGAAAGAACUAAAAGGUUUUAAAGUGGUUUUAAAGGGGCACAAUUCCAAACUCAAACUGGAAUUGAGCUGUGUGCAACUUUGGCACAAUGAGCACUGCUGCUCAGCUGUGAAAGGAGUUUUUGAAAUGUGAAAUAGGAAAAGAUAACUGAGAAAAAAGACUGUUGAUCCUAAGGAGACUGUUUUCUCGGAUUUUUAAUCUUUCUUUGCCUUCACUGGUUUGGAACCGC
This 2123-nucleotide long non-coding RNA is filed under the name Homo sapiens (human). RNAcentral's name for it is "HSALNT0189711". Lineage: Eukaryota; Metazoa; Chordata; Mammalia; Primates; Hominidae. The record is from RNAcentral.